CUACGGGUUGCUGCAGUGGGGAAUUUUGCGCAAUGGGGGAAACCCUGACGCAGCAACGCCGCGUGAAGGAUGAAGGCCUUUGGGUCGUAAACUUCUGUCAGAGGGGAAGAAAUGCCCGCAAGGGAGCUGACGGUACCCUCAAAGGAAGCACCGGCUAACUCCGUGCCAGCAGCCGCGGUAAUACGGAGGGUGCAAGCGUUGUUCGGAAUUAUUGGGCGUAAAGAGCAUGUAGGCGGACUGUUAAGUCUGGUGUGAAAGCCCGGGGCUCAACCCCGGAAGUGCAUUGGAUACUGGCAGUCUAGAGUAUGGGAGAGGAAAGUGGAAUUCCGAGUGUAGGAGUGAAAUCCGUAGAUAUUCGGAGGAACACCAGUGGCGAAGGCGGCUUUCUGGACCAAUACUGACGCUGAGAUGCGAAAGCGUGGGGAGCAAACAGGAUUAGAUACCCGUGUAGUC
This 453-nucleotide ribosomal RNA is filed under the name uncultured bacterium. RNAcentral describes it as "partial 16S ribosomal RNA". It matches the Rfam family "Bacterial small subunit ribosomal RNA", at positions 339 to 795 of the family's 1533-position model. The record is from RNAcentral.